ACUUAAAUUGAAGAGUUUGAUCAUGGCUCAGAUUGAACGCUGGCGGCAGGCCUAACACAUGCAAGUCGAGCGGUAGCACAGAGAGCUUGCUCUCGGGUGACGAGCGGCGGACGGGUGAGUAAUGUCUGGGAAACU
RNAcentral lists this ribosomal RNA (135 nucleotides) under Klebsiella pneumoniae. Its description in RNAcentral is "partial 16S ribosomal RNA". It matches the Rfam family "Bacterial small subunit ribosomal RNA", at positions 1 to 126 of the family's 1533-position model. The record is from RNAcentral. Lineage: Bacteria; Pseudomonadati; Pseudomonadota; Gammaproteobacteria; Enterobacterales; Enterobacteriaceae. RNAcentral also lists the same sequence under 1 other name.